AGUGAACGCUGGCGGUAGGCCUAACACAUGCAAGUCGAACGGCAGCACAGUAAGAGCUUGCUCUUACGGGUGGCGAGUGGCGGACGGGUGAGGAAUACAUCGGAAUCUACUUUUUCGUGGGGGAUAACGUAGGGAAACUUACGCUAAUACUGCAUACGACCUACGGGUGAAAGCAGGGGAUCUUCGGACCUUGCGCGAUUGAAUGAGCCGAUGUCGGAUUAGCUAGUUGGCGGGGUAAAGGCCCACCAAGGCGACGAUCCGUAGCUGGUCUGAGAGGAUGAUCAGCCACACUGGAACUGAGACACGGUCCAGACGCCUACGGGAGGCAGCAGUGGGGAAUAUUGGACAAUGGGCGCAAGCCUGAUCCAGCCAUACCGCGUGGGUGAAGAAGGCCUUCGGGUUGUAAAGCCCUUUUGUUGGGAAAGAAAAGAAGCAGGUUAAUACCCCGCUGUUCUGACGGUACCCAAAGAAUAAGCACCGGCUAACUUCGUG
This 492-nucleotide ribosomal RNA is filed under the name uncultured bacterium. Its description in RNAcentral is "partial 16S ribosomal RNA". It matches the Rfam family "Bacterial small subunit ribosomal RNA", at positions 29 to 507 of the family's 1533-position model. The record is from RNAcentral.